GGCCCAAACUUGAAGUAGAGUAGAUUGGUAGGAUCCGCUGACCAUACUAGUGUACUCUUCUUCAAGUUUGCGCCC
Non-coding RNA from Haemonchus placei, 75 nucleotides. NCBI's taxonomy places the organism in Eukaryota, Metazoa, Nematoda, Chromadorea, Rhabditida, Trichostrongylidae. The record is from Rfam.